This 77-nucleotide transfer RNA is filed under the name Bacillota bacterium. RNAcentral describes it as "tRNA-Met". It matches the Rfam family "tRNA". Rfam says of the family: Transfer RNA (tRNA) molecules are approximately 80 nucleotides in length. Their secondary structure includes four short double-helical elements and three loops (D, anti-codon, and T loops). The record is from RNAcentral. Lineage: Bacteria; Bacillati; Bacillota.
UGCGGGGUAGACCAGUGGCUAAGUCGUUAGGCUCAUAACCUAAAAAUCGAGGGUUCGAGUCCCUCCCGCCGCAACCA